RNAcentral lists this ribosomal RNA (253 nucleotides) under uncultured bacterium. RNAcentral describes it as "partial 16S ribosomal RNA". It matches the Rfam family "Bacterial small subunit ribosomal RNA", at positions 524 to 776 of the family's 1533-position model. The record is from RNAcentral.
UACGGAGGGUGCGAGCGUUGUCCGGAAUCACUGGGCGUAAAGGGCGCGUAGGUGGCGGCCCAAGUCAACGGUGAAAGCUCGGCGCUCAACGCCGAGUCGGCCGUCGAUACUGGGUGGCUUGAGCACUGUAGAGGCUAAUGGAAUUCCGGGUGUAGCGGUGGAAUGCGUAGAGAUCCGAAAGAACACCGGUGGCGAAGGCGGUUAGCUGGGCAGUUGCUGACACUGAGGCGCGACAGCGUGGGGAGCAAACAGG